Small nucleolar RNA from Pseudoliparis swirei, 135 nucleotides. RefSeq annotates it as small nucleolar RNA SNORA79. The transcript has a single exon. The record is from RefSeq and is a predicted model, not a curated record. Lineage: Eukaryota; Metazoa; Chordata; Actinopteri; Perciformes; Liparidae.
CGACGUCGGUUCCUUCUCCUGACGGAAGUGUGUCAGGAGGAUUUUACGACGUCGCAGAGUAACGAGUCUGAUUCACCCAGGGAGCGUCGGGCUGGCCGGACUACGAGCUUCCUGGUUUUGCGAGACUCAACACAA